UAGCUCAGUGGUAGAGCACAUGCUUAGCUUGCAUGAGGUCCUGGGUCCAAUCCCCAG
RNAcentral lists this transfer RNA (57 nucleotides) under Camelus bactrianus (Bactrian camel). It matches the Rfam family "tRNA", at positions 8 to 63 of the family's 71-position model. Rfam says of the family: Transfer RNA (tRNA) molecules are approximately 80 nucleotides in length. Their secondary structure includes four short double-helical elements and three loops (D, anti-codon, and T loops). Further hydrogen bonds mediate the characteristic L-shaped molecular structure. tRNAs have two regions of fundamental functional importance: the anti-codon, which is responsible for specific mRNA codon recognition, and the 3' end, to which the tRNAs corresponding amino acid is attached (by aminoacyl-tRNA synthetases). tRNAs cope with the degeneracy of the genetic code in two manners: having more than one tRNA (with a specific anti-codon) for a particular amino acid; and 'wobble' base-pairing, i.e. permitting non-standard base-pairing at the 3rd anti-codon position. RNAcentral also lists the same sequence under 2 other names. The record is from Rfam by way of RNAcentral. Lineage: Eukaryota; Metazoa; Chordata; Mammalia; Artiodactyla; Camelidae.